RNAcentral lists this ribosomal RNA (450 nucleotides) under uncultured bacterium. RNAcentral's name for it is "partial 16S ribosomal RNA". It matches the Rfam family "Bacterial small subunit ribosomal RNA", at positions 354 to 796 of the family's 1533-position model. The record is from RNAcentral.
GUGGGGAAUAUUGGACAAUGGGCGAAAGCCUGAUCCAGCCAUGCCGCGUGUGUGAAGAAGGUCUUCGGAUUGUAAAGCACUUUAAGUUGGUAGGAAGGGCAGUAAGUUAAUACCUUGCUGUUUUGACGUUACCGACAGAAUAAGCACCGGCUAACUUCGUGCCAGCAGCCGCGGUAAUACGAAGGGUGCAAGCGUUAAUCGGAAUUACUGGGCGUAAAGCGCGCGUAGGUGGUUUUGUAAGUUGGAGGUGAAAUCCCCGGGCUCAACCUGGGAACUGCCUCCAAAACUGCAUGACUAGAGUACGGUAGAGGGUAGUGGAAUUUCCUGUGUAGCGGUGAAAUGCGUAGAUAUAGGAAGGAACACCAGUGGCGAAGGCGACUACCUGGACUGAUACUGACACUGAGGUGCGAAAGCGUGGGGAGCAAACAGGAUUAGAUACCCCUGUAGUCC